This 460-nucleotide ribosomal RNA is filed under the name uncultured bacterium. RNAcentral's name for it is "partial 16S ribosomal RNA". It matches the Rfam family "Bacterial small subunit ribosomal RNA", at positions 338 to 795 of the family's 1533-position model. The record is from RNAcentral.
CCUACGGGUGGCAGCAGUGAGGAAUAUUGGUCAAUGGACGAGAGUCUGAACCAGCCAAGUAGCGUGAAGGAUGACUGCCCUAUGGGUUGUAAACUUCUUUUAUAUGGGAAUAAAACGUUCCACGUGUGGGAUUUUGUAUGUACCAUAUGAAUAAGGAUCGGCUAACUCCGUGCCAGCAGCCGCGGUAAUACGGAGGAUCCGAGCGUUAUCCGGAUUUAUUGGGUUUAAAGGGAGCGUAGGUGGAUUGUUAAGUCAGUUGUGAAAGUUUGCGGCUCAACCGUAAAAUUGCAGUUGAAACUGGCAGUCUUGAGUACAGUAGCGGUGGGCGGAAUUCGUGGUGUAGCGGUGAAAUGCUUAGAGAUCACGAAGAACUCCGAUUGCGAAGGCAGUUCACUGGACUGCAACUGACACUGAGGCUCGAAAGUGUGGGUAUCAAACAGGAUUAGAUACCCCGGUAGUC